UACGUAGGGGGCAAGCGUUGUCCGGAAUCAUUGGGCGUAGAGCGCGUGUAGGCGGCCCGGUAAGUCCGCUGUGAAAGUCGGGGGCUCAACCCUCGAAUGCCGGUGGAUACUGUCGGGCUAGAGUGCGGGAGAGGCGAGUGGAAUUCCUGGUGUAGCGGUGAAAUGCGCAGAUAUCAGGAGGAACACCAAUUGCGAAGGCAGCUCGCUGGAACGUAACUGACGCUGAGACGCGAAAGCGUGGGGAGCAAACAGG
This 253-nucleotide ribosomal RNA is filed under the name uncultured bacterium. RNAcentral's name for it is "partial 16S ribosomal RNA". It matches the Rfam family "Bacterial small subunit ribosomal RNA", at positions 524 to 776 of the family's 1533-position model. The record is from RNAcentral.